AUUCUUGGUGCAAUGGGUCAGCAUGUCUGGCUGUUAACCAGAAGGUUGAUGGUUCGAGUCCAGCCAGCGAUG
Podarcis lilfordi (Lilford's wall lizard) is the source of this 72-nucleotide non-coding RNA. The record is from the annotation of a GenBank genome assembly. Lineage: Eukaryota; Metazoa; Chordata; Lepidosauria; Squamata; Lacertidae.